GAAAUGCGAUAAGUAGUGUGAAUUGCAGAAUUCAGUGAAUCAUCGAAUCUUUGCACGCACAUUGCGCCCCUUGGUAUUCCAUGGGGCAUGCCUGUUCGAGCGUCAUUUGUACCCUCAAGCUCUGCUUGGUGUUGGGUGUUUGUCCCCGUCUCCGCGCGUGGACUCGCCCCAAAGUGAUUGGCAGCCGGCGUACUGGUCCCGGAGCGCAGCACAUGUCGCGCAAACGAGUGCCUUGGUACGGCGGCGUCCAUAAGCCCCUCUCUCACGCUCUUGACCUCGGAUCAGGUAGGGAUACCCGCUGAACUUAAGC
Molecule: unclassified non-coding RNA, 310 nt
Filed under: plant metagenome
Description: partial contains 5.8S ribosomal RNA, internal transcribed spacer 2, and large subunit ribosomal RNA
Rfam family: 5.8S ribosomal RNA (bases 1-105)
Source: RNAcentral